Neopsephotus bourkii (Bourke's parrot) is the source of this 3027-nucleotide long non-coding RNA. RefSeq lists it as uncharacterized. NCBI's taxonomy places the organism in Eukaryota, Metazoa, Chordata, Aves, Psittaciformes, Psittacidae. The transcript is spliced from 3 exons. The record is from RefSeq and is a predicted model, not a curated record.
UAUCCAGUGAUUCAGUUUAAUUUUGUGUAACCUCGUGGCUAUCUGCUGCCUUGUGUUUUCUCCUACAAAGGCCAAGUCUGUUCUGUUUUCCUCAAAACCCUGACACCCUUUACCACUGAUGUUGAUUCCAGAUAAAGCCUAUUCCAUAUUUCAUAACUCUCCCCUUGCGCUGCAGCCUUCCAGAUGUUGCACCGGUUCCAUGCUUGGCUGCAGGCGAGGAGCAGCUGGGCUAAGCUGCUGCUCCCAUGGUGUUGUCCAGUUCCUUCCUUAAUGUCAACAUUAUCCCAAAACCGUGUAAACGUGUCAGGAGAAAAAACCCCAUGAAGUUUUACAGUAGUUUUUCAGCUGCUUUCGCACCAAGCCUCGCCUCCAAAGUUGCACAGUACUCCCGGCAAUCACAGAAGUCAGGGCAAGCUGUAUUUAAUUUAAUUAAUUAAUCCAUCACUAUAAAAGUUUGAAGAGAAAUGGAGGUAUGUAUAAAAAAAUAUGGAAGCUAAUAAUUUCUGAGUUAUGGCAUAAAACCAGCAGCAGUUCCUCUCCGAAUACGAUUUGCAGACAGGGUGUGGGGUAGCAGACGCAAGAGCCCUAAAGCCAUAAAAUAAGGUUGCUCACUGGCAGGACCAUGCUUUGCUCUGACAGCAGUUCACAUUUUCUUUAGCACACAGAAAUCAGUGUCACAGGGAGCUGCAGCCACCAAAAAGCUGGUCCAGAGCUGCCAGAGCAUCCCUGCAGUGCAGAGGGCGCAGAGGCUGUCUCGAGGGCAUGUGUUGAAGGAGCGAUAUGAAGUGAUCACUCUGAUGGGAGAGUUUUCUGUCCCUUCCACUGACACGUUGUGUUAGCUUAGGCAGUGGAAUUAUGCCUCUGUGUGUUUAUUAUUGUGACUUGCAUGCCUGACCUCAGCUGGGCAAGUGUUGAGGGGAAAUCAGCAUUUUAAAUCUUAAGAACAGGAGCAGCUUUCCAAUGUUUAGUGAUGGGGAGGUUGCAAUGGACUCGGAGUUUAUAGGCUGGGUCUCAAAAGGCUCAGAUGCUGCACCAGACCCUUAGUUGUUUAUCAGGACCCCAUGUGAGCCUGACCAUCAAGCUAGACUCUCACCUUCACCAGGGUUUUGAUAAGAUUUCCAGAACUUCCUCCUGGGGUCAGCCCCUACAUGUGCAGAAAGAGCCUUUCUCACCUUCCUUGGGGUUUUCAUUUCCAUUUCAUUCCCUGAGCUUGGGAAGUGUUAGAAGCUGAACAAAGUGAGAAUUAUUUUUAGCCAAAUUAAGCUGAGCCUUGCAGCAGAGCUGGGUUCAGAGCGUGGAGGUCCCUCAUCUGUUUAUGUGCUCUCCUAAGCCACUGGCUCAGAACAAAAGAGGUCAGCAGCCAUCAUUUCCUUGACCUCAGAAUUGCUAAACUCUUCUCGCUUCUGCCGCUCUCUUGCUGGCUCCAGAAAAAAUAGGAAGGUUUUGUACUAAAUCCUUUGCAGGGCAAGAAAGAAAUCUGUCCCCUGGGGAGAGGAGGCAGCAAAGGAGAAAAUAAACUCUCAGAUUAAAUUUUAAAAGCGCUUUAUUAACACUUUUUUCUCUUUAAGCCUUAGUUCCCCCAUGAACAUCCACAUCGCAAAACCUUCCUCUUCCUUAAUAGCACUCUCAUUUAAACCACAGUAAAAGGAGAAACGUUGAGGGAGGAAUGAAAGUGUCUCCCAUUCCCACUUAACCCCUUACACAACUGCUCUGGAAACAACAAACACCCGAUUUCAGUGGUGGUUUUUCAUCCUCAUGGGCAGAGCUUCAUUUGCAACUGCACAUACCCUAAAAUCACUGCGCUACACACGCUGAAGGGGAACUUCUUUCCAAAGACACCAGCUUGGGCUCCACUGGGGAGCAUGAUGCUGAGCACAGUGGAACUCUGUCUGCUUGGCAGCCCCCCAGCAGUAGUGACUGUCAUGGGUGUGCCAGGCUGUCCUUGCAGCCUUUGGUAACUUCCCGGGGAAGAACAACAUUGAACACAAAGGCAUUCACAGGUACAGAGGAGCUAAUUGCCUGUGGACCCAGGUGAGUCCCAAGCCUUUAACCAGUGCAAAUGAGCUCCCCCUUCUUUUCCUCCUGGCAAGUCACUGGCACUAAGUACCUUCAGGUAUUUACAUGGUGCUGAUAGGUUGUUCUGGACUGGCUUUGCAGGCAGGGCAGACACCUGAGCAGAUGGUGGUUAUCCCAGCACAGAGCCCUUCCAUCGCCCUCUGCUCUGGGUACCCAAGCGGAAGCAAACCUCAUUGUGUGAUGUACAGUUCAUCUCUGUUUGUUUUCAUGGCCAAUGAAUUUGCAAUGAACCUGAGCAGAGGAGGAGAAACGCUGGGUUUAAUUCAGGAUAACCAAGUACCACUGUGGGAAGCACAGGCUACCCUUGGUUGAGCUUUUCUCUGCUUCGGGAACCCCCAGGCAGCUUUCAGUGUGAGCUUCGGGGAGAUGCCAGCUGGGAGAGGUGAGCUCCUGAUCCCAACUGCUCACAGCAUAUCUUAACUCUGGAAGACGUGCUGGUUGCUGGACUGCGCCCACAGCCCUUCCUCCCCAGUGCCCAGGCAUUUGGUAGGUACAGAAGAACCCCCAAAAGCAGAAGUAUAACGAUAAAAAGGGGAAAAUAUUAGAGGAGGCCAGAGGCAGAGUUCUGAUUUCCUCCACUUGCCUUGCAGAGGCCAGUGUGUAUUUUGAAUGAAGUUUACUGUUCCCUAACCCAUGGAACAGCCUCCCUGAUGCUGCUGGCUUCAGAGCCACCUAAAGCUGUAUCUGUCCCCCAGAAUGGGGCACAGUGCUCUUUGGUAGCAUGCAGCAAUGCCAGACUCCAGUGAGGACAGAGAGUGAGCCAUCCCCAGCCCUGUGGGUGUUUGGGAUGGCAGUUAGAUGCACAGGGAGAUUGCCUGCACUGGAAUUUGGCCAGGACACUGGGAUGAGCCAAACAAGCAUCUCCUUGGGACAACCGCUUCCAAUUUGGUUUGCUCUGCUGUAGGCAACUCUACCCAGCCCAGUAACAACAUCUCUCCAACUUGCAGCUGU